GGACCAUCAUGUCGGUCGUGCCUCGGUACGUACUGGUAUUGUUAGUUUCUCCCUUCUGAAGAACCAUGAUGUCAUUUAUUUGGUGUUGUGGGGAAUCAGGACUGUUACUUUGAAAAAAUUAGAGUGUUUAAAGCAAGCUAACGCUUGAAUACAUUAGCAUGGAAUAAUGAAAUAGGACGUUCGAUCCUAUUUUGUUGGUUUCUAGGACAGACGUA
RNAcentral lists this ribosomal RNA (215 nucleotides) under Campeiostachys nutans. Its description in RNAcentral is "Elymus nutans partial small subunit ribosomal RNA". The stretch from base 37 to 215 matches the Rfam family "Eukaryotic small subunit ribosomal RNA", at positions 684 to 864 of the family's 1831-position model. The record is from RNAcentral. Lineage: Eukaryota; Viridiplantae; Streptophyta; Magnoliopsida; Poales; Poaceae.